GUUGACAUGUCAUCACUUCAUUUUUUUGCGCCUGCGCAUAAAUCUGAGAAGCGUGAGUUUGUCAUUAAUUGUUUAUCUAGACAUAGGAUAGGUUGUGUGAAAAUAUUACUGAUGUUUAACGUUAAAAAUGGACCAAAAGAUUAAUGCUAAACAACAUUUGACAUGUUUGAACGGACGUAAAUAGAUUAUAUUACUAGGUUUUUUUAGCUUUUCUGCGUGAUUUUACACUCCCCCCACCACGUUUUGUGGGAGCAUAAUGAACGCUAAGUACUUGGUGUUAUUUGGACAUAAAUUAUGAACUUUGUCAAAAGAAACCACAUUUGUUCCGGACCUGGGAUGCCUUCCGGACCUGGGAUGCGUGCCUUCUGAUGGAGAUAAUCAAAGGUUGUUUCCUCGCCAUCCUUGAGUGGAGGGACAAAGAGGGUGUCACGACCGUCGUAUGAAUAAUUGGACCAAGGCGCAGUGUGAGUAGAGUUCCACAUUUUAAUGAUAGUGAAACUUCCAAAACAACAAAAAAUAUAACGAUAGUGAAAUAUGUAGCGCACAUAGCCACUCAUACAAAACAAUCUCCCACAUAGCAGGUUGGAAAAACAACACACUAAGUAUGAUCCCCAAUUAGAGGUAACGAUAUUCAGCUGCCUCUAAUUGGGAACGAUACACACACACCAACAUAGAAAUAUAAUACCUAGAAACCCCCCUGGUCACACCCUGAUCUAAAACACCCCAGAGAACCCCAAGGGCUCUCUAUGGUCAGGGUGUGACAGUACCCCCCCAAAGGUGCGGACUCCAACCACAAAACCUG
Molecule: long non-coding RNA, 802 nt
Filed under: Salmo salar (Atlantic salmon)
Lineage: Eukaryota; Metazoa; Chordata; Actinopteri; Salmoniformes; Salmonidae
Description: lncRNA (ENSSSAG00000090107.1)
Source: RNAcentral